UGGUGGGCCCAAGUGCAGAGCUAAUACUUACUGGUAUGAGGUGGUAAAGUGAAAUAGAUAUAUUUGGAGUCACUUUGUGGUAACCAGCGACCUAUCGUGUGAGGUAGCGGAGCGCUACCACUGUGCCACAGUGUCUGUAGAAAAAGAGAUGGAAAGCAAAUGGUGGGAAUGGCAGACAAAAGAGACACUUAAGACCAGCAUGCUCAAACAAAGAAACACACUAAAAAGAACACAAAACCACUCUCAAGCUCGAGAGGGCAUAAGGCUGGACUGAAGUACCAUACCGGUUACCCCUCUACAAAGGUGUUACCCUGAGCUGCCGUUUGUGUGAACGUUUAUGCAGUUUUCCCCAGGUGCAACCAGUCAGCACUGAUUAUCAGUUUCUGGGAGGCACAACGAAUCUGAGACAUCAGUGUAGCACAGCAUGUGCUACCCCAGGCUCAAGGAGGACGCUGGAGGUAGCGUUCAUGUUUGCAGCAGCCAUAUUUUAUUCAAAGACCAAAUAAACACAAAGCAAACAAAACCAAAUAAUCAAAGCUAUGCUGGCCAUUUUUCAGUGGCUUAAGCUAGACUUUUCAGUACUUUUCAAAGUAAGCUUUUCAGCUCUGUCCUCAGUCUUUUGUUGCUGCUGCUGCUCGUCCCUCUCUUGCUCUGUUCCCUCUCAGCUCUUUUAAAAAGCUAGCUGAGUCGAGAGGGAAUGCGAGUUCACUGCUCCGCCUCCUCGUCACCAUCCCCAGCUCACAGCACGGCCGCCUGGGACAAAUGUGAGGUGUAGUGAAGCGGCAAUUGCAGCCGCCGUAGGGGCCAGGGGGACAGGCACACACCACAGUCAGGUUAGGAGUUUUGAUACCCACACCAUACAUCUUUACCUGUUAACCUCUCAGGCACAGGCUCAAAAAGAAUGUCCAGCUCAGUACUUCUCUCUCAAAUGCAAUAACAACAUUAUACUGAUAAAGAUAUGAAGACAGUAGAUCAUUCACUUCAAUCCUCGGAAAACACAUUCUUAAUCAAAUUCUGAAUGAGUUCUCUUUUAAUAUUGAACAUGUUCACAUUCAUCCUGUUGGGGAGGAGGUCCAAAGCACAGCCUACAUUACAAAAUGUUCUUCUGCAUGUUGUAUGUACCUCUGCAUGUUGUACACUACUAGUAGAGAGAUCCUCAAAAACACAAACUUAUACAGUGCAACUUUAAAUCAGGUGUGCUGCUGCAAUAUUUUUGCAAGGGCUGGGGGCAUCAAGGAAAAAUCUGUCACUAAAUCUACGUUCACAAAACCUUCUUACUGAUUGAGAUUAUGUUAGGGUUAGGCUAAGUGUGUAAUGUUAGGUAAUUAGAUAUAACUUAUUAGUUCAAUGCAUGUUAAGACAUAAUCAUCUACAAAAUGUCUACAUAGGUCCAUCCAAAUAAAUGUUACUAAAGAGUCAAGCUGAUCAAAAUUAUCUUUCCUUUUUGUCAUACACACCAAGAGAUUCUCCAGGAAGACUGUCCAGCCAGAAGCAGUAUAACUUAUCUAAUACAGGCCGGGCUAUUGAAUAUAUGAACAAGAUACAGUCUCCUUUUCAAAUAUAUGGUGCACAUGGGUUACUGAUUCAUUUGUAUGAUUUAUUUGUAUCCAACAAAUUAAAAGAGGUAUUAAAUUUCA
This is a long non-coding RNA of Colossoma macropomum (tambaqui), 1637 nucleotides long. RefSeq lists it as uncharacterized. The record is from RefSeq and is a predicted model, not a curated record. NCBI's taxonomy places the organism in Eukaryota, Metazoa, Chordata, Actinopteri, Characiformes, Serrasalmidae. The transcript has 2 exons.